UACGUAGGGGGCAAGCGUUGUCCGGAAUCAUUGGGCGUAAAGAGCGUGUAGGCGGCCUGAUAAGUCGGCUGUGAAAGUCAAGGGCUCAACCCUUGAAUGCCGGCCGAUACUGUCAGGCUAGAAUCCGGAAGAGGCGAGUGGAAUUCCUGGUGUAGCGGCGAAAUGCGCAGAUAUCAGGAGGAACACCUAUGGCGAAGGCAGCUCGCUGGGACGGUAUUGACGCUGAGACGCGAAAGCGUGGGGAGCAAACAGG
Molecule: ribosomal RNA, 253 nt
Filed under: uncultured bacterium
Lineage: Bacteria
Description: partial 16S ribosomal RNA
Rfam family: Bacterial small subunit ribosomal RNA
Source: RNAcentral